CGGUUCGAGUCCGCUUACCUCCACUGAUCAGUAUCCUGAUAGCUAAAUUUUGGGAGAAUGUGGUUAAUGUGAUUUAAAAGUUGUUCAUCUGAAAGAACCCAACCUCCUUGUCAUUCCAUUCGUAUAAAUUCUUAUUGAGCUCACGCGGGGUUCAAUUUUGUUAUUUAAUGAAAACAUUUUCAGCA
RNAcentral lists this unclassified non-coding RNA (185 nucleotides) under uncultured cyanobacterium. RNAcentral's name for it is "partial 16S-23S ribosomal RNA intergenic spacer". The record is from RNAcentral. Lineage: Bacteria; Bacillati; Cyanobacteriota.